RNAcentral lists this ribosomal RNA (568 nucleotides) under Sphingomonas sp. DJM5B1. RNAcentral describes it as "bacterial SSU rRNA". It matches the Rfam family "Bacterial small subunit ribosomal RNA", at positions 898 to 1461 of the family's 1533-position model. Lineage: Bacteria; Pseudomonadati; Pseudomonadota; Alphaproteobacteria; Sphingomonadales; Sphingomonadaceae. The record is from RNAcentral.
AACUCAAAGAAAUUGACGGGGGCCUGCNCAAGCGGNGGAGCAUGUGGUUUAAUUCGAAGCAACGCGNAGAACCUUACCAACGUUUGACAUGUCCAGUAUGAUUUCCAGAGAUGGAUUUCUUCAGUUCGGCUGGCUGGAACACAGGUGCUGCAUGGCUGUCGUCAGCUCGNGUCGNGAGAUGUUGGGUUAAGUCCCGCAACGAGCGCAACCCUCGCCUUUAGUUGCCAUCAUUUAGUUGGGCACUCUAAAGGAACCGCCGGUGAUAAGCCGGAGGAAGGUGGGGAUGACGUCAAGUCCUCAUGGCCCUUACGCGUUGGGCUACACACGUGCUACAAUGGCAGAGACAAUGGGCUGCGACCUCGCGAGGGGUAGCUAAUCCCAAAAAGCUGUCUCAGUUCGGAUUGCACUCUGCAACUCGAGNGCAUGAAGGCUGGAAUCGCUAGUNAUCGCGGAUCAGCAUGCCGCGGUGAAUACGUUCCCAGGCCUUNGUACACACCGCCCGUCACACCAUGGGAGNUGUAUUCACCCGANGGCGCUNGCGCUAACCGCAAGGAGGCAGGCGACCACG